This 276-nucleotide ribosomal RNA is filed under the name uncultured bacterium. Its description in RNAcentral is "partial 16S ribosomal RNA". It matches the Rfam family "Bacterial small subunit ribosomal RNA", at positions 28 to 305 of the family's 1533-position model. The record is from RNAcentral.
GACGAACGCUGGCGGCGUGCUUAACACAUGCAAGUCGAGCGGUAAAGCCCUUUCGGGGGUACACGAGCGGCGAACGGGUGAGUAACACGUGGGUGACCUGCCCUCAGCUCUGGGAUAAGCCUGGGAAACCGGGUCUAAUACCGGAUAUGACUCCAUGACGCAUGUUGUGGGGUGGAAAGCCUUGUGCGGCUGAGGAUGGGCCCGCGGCCUAUCAGCUUGUUGGUGGGGUGAUGGCCUACCAAGGCGACGACGGGUAGCCGGCCUGAGAGGGCGACC